Molecule: ribosomal RNA, 466 nt
Filed under: Vreelandella stevensii
Lineage: Bacteria; Pseudomonadati; Pseudomonadota; Gammaproteobacteria; Oceanospirillales; Halomonadaceae
Description: partial 16S ribosomal RNA
Rfam family: Bacterial small subunit ribosomal RNA
Source: RNAcentral
CCUACGGGUGGCAGCAGUGGGGAAUAUUGGACAAUGGGCGAAAGCCUGAUCCAGCCAUGCCGCGUGUGUGAAGAAGGCCUUCGGGUUGUAAAGCACUUUCAGUGGGGAAGAAAGCCUUGGGGCUAAUACCCUCGAGGAAGGACAUCACCCACAGAAGAAGCACCGGCUAACUCCGUGCCAGCAGCCGCGGUAAUACGGAGGGUGCGAGCGUUAAUCGGAAUUACUGGGCGUAAAGCGCGCGUAGGCGGUCUGAUAAGCCGGUUGUGAAAGCCCCGGGCUCAACCUGGGAACGGCAUCCGGAACUGUCAGGCUAGAGUGCAGGAGAGGAAGGUAGAAUUCCCGGUGUAGCGGUGAAAUGCGUAGAGAUCGGGAGGAAUACCAGUGGCGAAGGCGGCCUUCUGGACUGACACUGACGCUGAGGUGCGAAAGCGUGGGUAGCAAACAGGAUUAGAUACCCCUGGUAGUC